UACGAGCGGUAUGCAAGCGUUAUCCGGAAUUAUUGGGCGUAAAGCGUUUGUAGGCGGGCGAGUGUGUUUAAUGUUAAAUCUUAAAGCUCAACUUUGAAAUUGCGUUAAAAACUGCUUGUCUUGAGUAUGGUAGGGGUAAAGGGAAUUCCCAGUGUAGCGGUGAAAUGCGUAGAUAUUGGGAAGAACACUAAACAGCGAAGGCACUUUACUAGGCUAAUACUGACGCUGAGAAACGAAAGGUAAGGUAGCGAAACGGAUUAGAUACCCGUGUAGUCUUACCCGUAAACUAUGGACACUAAACGGUAAAUUUUUAAUUUACUGUUAAAGCUAACGCGUUAAGUGUCCCGCCUGGGGAGUAUGCUUGCAAAAGUGAAACUCAAAGGAAUUGACGGGGGCCCGCACAAGCGGUGGAGCAUGUGGUUUAAUUCGACGGUACACGAAGAACCUUACCAGGAUUUGACAUGCUAGAUAGUUGCUUGAAAGAGUAACGUGCCGUAAGGAAUCUAGACACAGGUGGUGCAUGGCUGUCGUCAGUUCGUGUUGUGAAAUGUUGGGUUAAGUCCCGCAACGAACGCAACCCUUGUCUUUAGUUAUUUUCUAAAGAGACUGCCUGUAAUAAACAGGAGGAAGGUAAGGAUGAGGUCAAGUCAUCAUGCCCCUUAUGUCCUGGGCUACACACGUGCUACAAUGGGAAAGACAAUGAGCUGCAAAUCUGUAAAUUUAAGCAAAUCUCUUAAACUUUCUCGUAAUUCGGAUUGUGGGCUGCAACUCGCCCACAUGAAGUUGGAAUCGCUAGUAAUCGCCAGUCAGCUAUAUGGCGGUGAAUCCGUUCCCGGGCCU
RNAcentral lists this ribosomal RNA (840 nucleotides) under uncultured bacterium. RNAcentral describes it as "bacterial SSU rRNA". It matches the Rfam family "Bacterial small subunit ribosomal RNA", at positions 522 to 1381 of the family's 1533-position model. The record is from RNAcentral.